UGGGGAAUUUUCCGCAAUGGGCGCAAGCCUGAAGCAGCGACGCCGCGUGUGGGAAGAAGGUCUUCGGAUUGUAAACCACUUUCAGGAGGGAAGAAGCGCAAGUGACGGUACCUCCAAAAGAAGGCCCGCCCAACUACGUGCCAGCAGCCGCGGUAAUACGUAGGGGCCUAGCGUUGUCCGGAAUUAUUGGGCGUAAAGAGCUCGUAGGCGGCCCACCAAGUCGGAUGUGAAAUCUCAAGGCUCAACCUUGAAAUUGCAUCCGAUACUGAUGGGCUUGAGGCAGGUAGGGGAAGGUGGAAUUCCUGGUGUAGCGGUGAAAUGCGCAGAUAUCAGGAGGAACACCGGUGGCGAAGGCGGCCUUCUGGGCCUGUACUGACGCUGAGGAGCGAAAGCGUGGGGAGCAAACAGGAUUAGAUACCCGCGUAGUCC
RNAcentral lists this ribosomal RNA (429 nucleotides) under uncultured prokaryote. RNAcentral describes it as "bacterial SSU rRNA". It matches the Rfam family "Bacterial small subunit ribosomal RNA", at positions 355 to 796 of the family's 1533-position model. The record is from RNAcentral.